This 253-nucleotide ribosomal RNA is filed under the name uncultured bacterium. Its description in RNAcentral is "partial 16S ribosomal RNA". It matches the Rfam family "Bacterial small subunit ribosomal RNA", at positions 524 to 776 of the family's 1533-position model. The record is from RNAcentral.
UACGGAGGGUGCAAGCGUUGUUCGGAAUCAUUGGGCGUAAAGCGCGUGUAGGCGGCUUGGCAAGUCGGGUGUGAAAUCCCGGGGCCCAACCCCGGAACUGCAUUCGAAACUGCCUCGCUAGAGUCCCGGAGAGGAAGGCGGAAUUCCCGGUGUAGAGGUGAAAUUCGUAGAUAUCGGGAGGAACACCAGCGGCGAAGGCGGCCUUCUGGACGGUGACUGACGCUGGGACGCGAAAGCGUGGGGAGCUAACAGG